This 263-nucleotide ribosomal RNA is filed under the name uncultured bacterium. Its description in RNAcentral is "partial 16S ribosomal RNA". It matches the Rfam family "Bacterial small subunit ribosomal RNA", at positions 524 to 777 of the family's 1533-position model. The record is from RNAcentral.
UACGUAGGGGUGCGAGCGUUGUCCGGAAUUAUUGGGCGUAAGGGCUCGUAGGCGGCUUGUCGCGUCGGGAGUGAAAGCCCGCUGCUUAACGGCGGGUUUGCUUUCGGUACGGGCAGGCUGGAGUACGGCAGGGGAGACUGGAAUUCCUGGUGUAGCGGUGGAAAUGCGCAGAUAUCAGGAGGAAACACCGGGUGGCGAAGGCGGGUCUCUGGGGCCGUUUACUGACGCUGAGGAAGCGAAAAGCGUGGGGUAGCGAAACAGGG